This 447-nucleotide ribosomal RNA is filed under the name uncultured bacterium. RNAcentral's name for it is "bacterial SSU rRNA". It matches the Rfam family "Bacterial small subunit ribosomal RNA", at positions 954 to 1392 of the family's 1533-position model. The record is from RNAcentral.
GCUAAACGCGAAGAACCUUACCUGGGUUUGACAUGCACGGUAAUCCGGCAGAGAUGUCGGGUCCGCAAGGGAUCGUGCACAGGUGGUGCAUGGCUGUCGUCAGCUCGUGUCGUGAGAUGUUGGGUUAAGUCCCGCAACGAGCGCAACCCUCGUCCUAUGUUGCCAGCACGCUCCUUUGGGGGUGGUGGGGACUCAUAAGAGACUGCCGGGGUCAACUCGGAGGAAGGUGGGGAUGACGUCAAGUCAUCAUGCCCCUUAUGUCCAGGGCUUCACGCAUGCUACAAUGGCCGGUACAGACCGCUGCGAUCCCGUGAGGGGGAGCGAAUCGGAAAAAGCCGGUCUCAGUUCGGAUUGGGGUCUGCAACUCGACCCCAUGAAGUCGGAGUCGCUAGUAAUCGCAGAUCAGCAACGCUGCGGUGAAUACGUUCCCGGGUCUUGUACACACCG